Molecule: ribosomal RNA, 468 nt
Filed under: uncultured bacterium
Lineage: Bacteria
Description: partial 16S ribosomal RNA
Rfam family: Bacterial small subunit ribosomal RNA
Source: RNAcentral
GACGAACGCUGGCGGCGUGCUUAACACAUGCAAGUCGAACGGAAAGGCCCUGCUUUUGUGGGGUGCUCGAGUGGCGAACGGGUGAGUAACACGUGAGUAACCUGCCCUUGACUUUGGGAUAACUUCAGGCAACUGGGGCUAAUACCGGAUAGGAGCUCCUGCUGCAUGGUGGGGGUUGGAAAGCUUCGGCGGUUGGGGAUGGACCCGCGGCUUAUCAGCUUGUUGGUGGGGUAGUGGCUUACCAAGGCCUUGACGGGUAGCCGGCCUGAGAGGGUGACCGGCCACAUUGGGACUGAGAUACGGCCCAGACUCCUACGGGAGGCAGCAGUGGGGAAUAUUGCACAAUGGGCGGAAGCCUGAUGCAGCAACGCCGCGUGCGGGAUGACGGCCUUCGGGUUGUAAACCGCUUUCGCCUGUGACGAAGCGUGAGUGACGGUAAUGGGUAAAGAAGCACCGGCUAACUACGUG